UUAAUCUUCAUGGGUACCGAAUAAUGCAUGUGCUUGGCCAUCUUACAAAUCUAUGUCUAAGAUUCAUAAGGCUGUCUCUCUGCAUGAAUCUCUGAAUAAAUCCUGUGCAACCUUCAGUGUGCUGAUUAUUUACACCAUAGGUAUUAUAGCCAUUAAUUAACUUUGUUAGUAUUUCAGGAUUUUAACUUUUUGGGGGGAGGUUAACAACAAUGUGAUGUUUUAUUAUAGACACACAUGAGGAAGCUCGACUCAGCUUGGCUUGCAGACAGAUGAGGACGAUGAUCGUCCGUCAUACACCUAAAGAAAGAACAGGGGCAUUAAAGACACAACUAUAGUGAACGUGAUGAAGAGAAAUUAUUUGGAACAAAGAGGCUGGAGAAAAAACUGAUAUGAAGAUUUCAGAAAUUGAUGCAGCACCGCAAGUACCAUCACCACCAAUGACUAUGGCAGGAUCCUUAAGACCACCAUCAAGAUGCACAGAUGCUGUACAUUCCAGUAAACCUAUGAACAUUUACAGUCCUUGUUCAAGUGCAGUCGGAGAUCAAGACAACUUAUUGCAACUCGUCAUGUCUUUCACGACUGAAAAAAAGUUUUAAAAUCAUGUUACGUCAUAAAGCAGCAACUGUGCCUGAUUCUCACAAAUCAGCAAAACCAAAACAGACGUGAUGAAAUUCCAGAUGUAGACACAUUUGACCUUUCUUUGUCCAAUUUGAUUUGGAAAAACUUGAAAAUCAACUAAACGAGCAGCCCGAACAAAUGAAUAAACUGGUAGCCUACUUUGGAAUCAUUGGUGUUUUCCACUAAGUAGUUUGGUGUGUCCCGGGAAAGCUUUUGGCUCACUUUUUGGCUGAACAAAUUAACUGGAGCAGGGCAAACCAAAAUGUGGGCUUUCAUGCACUCUCCCUUAGGACUGUCUAUUCAAUGUAGUGAGGAGAAAUGUCCAUACCACAUCACUGAUAAAGAAGUGGAAAAAUGCAUUACAAGGUGGCUACAACGUGCUUCUGACAGGGCUGGAGGAAGGAGGGAAGAAGAGAAAGCUAAUGUGUCAAAUGUCUACAUCAAUAAUUUAUUUUUU
Molecule: non-coding RNA, 1075 nt
Organism: Danio rerio (zebrafish)
Lineage: Eukaryota; Metazoa; Chordata; Actinopteri; Cypriniformes; Danionidae
Source: RefSeq, a predicted model, not a curated record